This 203-nucleotide long non-coding RNA is filed under the name Elaeis guineensis (African oil palm). RNAcentral describes it as "long non-coding RNA (EGUI_LNC065452)". Lineage: Eukaryota; Viridiplantae; Streptophyta; Magnoliopsida; Arecales; Arecaceae. The record is from RNAcentral.
UUUGAAAUAGAAUCUAGAUAUCUUUGUCAUUCUUUAUAAACCACCAUCGGUACAAUUCUUAGCAUGCUAGGCUGACUCGUGGGCCAAUGGUAGUUAAAAGUUCCACGGUCCUACAAGUUAUGUCCAGUUGAAUGGCUUAUGUCACGUUAUGGGUUCAUUUAGUCAUAGGAAUGGCAAGGUCAGUCAAUAUCCAAACCUGUUCC